This 253-nucleotide ribosomal RNA is filed under the name uncultured bacterium. RNAcentral's name for it is "partial 16S ribosomal RNA". It matches the Rfam family "Bacterial small subunit ribosomal RNA", at positions 524 to 776 of the family's 1533-position model. The record is from RNAcentral. RNAcentral also lists the same sequence under 1 other name.
GACAGAGGGUGCAAACGUUGUUCGGAAUUACUGGGCGUAAAGCGAGUGUAGGCGGUCUGAAAAGUCGGAUGUGAAAGCCCCGGGCUCAACCCGGGAAGUGCAUUCGAAACUGCCAGGCUAGAGUGUCGGAGAGGUUGGUGGAAUUCUCGGUGUAGAGGUGAAAUUCGUAGAUAUCGAGAGGAACACCGGUGGCGAAGGCGGCCAACUGGACGAACACUGACGCUGAGACUCGAAAGCGUGGGGAGCAAACAGG